RNAcentral lists this ribosomal RNA (255 nucleotides) under uncultured bacterium. Its description in RNAcentral is "partial 16S ribosomal RNA". It matches the Rfam family "Bacterial small subunit ribosomal RNA", at positions 524 to 776 of the family's 1533-position model. The record is from RNAcentral.
UACAGAGGGGGCUAGCGUUAUUCGGAAUUAUUGGGCGUAAAGGGCGCGUGUAGGCGGCCAACUAAGUCCGACGUGAAAUCCCAAGGCUUAACCUUGGAACUGCGUCGGAUACUGGAUGGCUUGAAUUCGGGAGAGGGAUGCAGAAUUCCAGGUGUAGCGGUGAAAUGCGUAGAUAUCUGGAGGAAUACCGGUGGCGAAGGCGGCAUCCUGGACCGACAUUGACGCUGAGGAGCGAAAGCUAGGGGAGCAAACGGG